Molecule: ribosomal RNA, 421 nt
Filed under: Salmonella enterica
Lineage: Bacteria; Pseudomonadati; Pseudomonadota; Gammaproteobacteria; Enterobacterales; Enterobacteriaceae
Also listed under: 1 other name
Description: bacterial SSU rRNA
Rfam family: Bacterial small subunit ribosomal RNA
Source: RNAcentral
AAAUUGAAGAGUUUGAUCAUGGCUCAGAUUGAACGCUGGCGGCAGGCCUAACACAUGCAAGUCGAACGGUAACAGGAAGCAGCUUGCUGCUUUGCUGACGAGUGGCGGACGGGUGAGUAAUGUCUGGGAAACUGCCUGAUGGAGGGGGAUAACUACUGGAAACGGUGGCUAAUACCGCAUAACGUCGCAAGACCAAAGAGGGGGACCUUCGGGCCUCUUGCCAUCAGAUGUGCCCAGAUGGGAUUAGCUAGUUGGUGAGGUAACGGCUCACCAAGGCGACGAUCCCUAGCUGGUCUGAGAGGAUGACCAGCCACACUGGAACUGAGACACGGUUCAGACUCCUACGGGAGGCAGCAGUGGGGAAUAUUGCACAAUGGGCGCAAGCCUGAUGCAGCCAUGCCGCGUGUAUGAAGAAGGCCUU